GCGCCACCCCUUCCCUCGGGCGGGGCAGACACCGAGGCCCUCCGAAGUCCUGACCCAAGCGGCAGCUCUGGCGUGCGGGCUUGGACCGCGCGCCUCAGGGAGCAGAAACCGCUAGCGGUCCGGCGGAGAGAGCAACGCGGGGAAGCCCAGGUGGCGGCUUCCCUCACGCCCGCACCCCUCACCCGGCACCCCGCGGACGCAGUCGGCGGCGGCCAGCAGCGCCCCUCAGCGGCCGGCCGCGCCCUUCCCGCCUCCGGAAGUGACGCGCAGCUGCUUCGGCGUCCGGGAGGGGCCCCCGACGCAGCCGUGGGGGGCUCGAGAGAGGCGGCGGCCGCGGAGCGACUGGCAGGCUCAGCCGCGGCGAGGAACGCCCAGAGCGCGCGCGCCCGGCGGGUAGCGGCCCUCACGACCCGCGCCGCCGCCGCGUGCGGGGGCGGGGAGGGCGGGGCGCGACGAGCCGCGGCGGCGGCGGCGGCGGCGGCGGCGGGAGAUGCGGGCGGCUGCGGGCACCCGGCGGGCUCGGCUCGGCCGCCGGCGCCUUCUCCGGCUCCGCCGCGAGGGUCGCAGCGGCUGCCGCGCCGUCCUCGAGUUCCCGGCGUGAGGAGAGGAGCGUCUUGUUGGAGGCGGAGACCCGGAGGGAGCCCCGCGCGUGGCCUCGCUGAAGAAAUCGUUGAAUUUCAUAUCAAUGGCACACUUUUAGGAACUCAAAUGAAGAGGUUCAGCUUAUGUGCCCAGUGGUUCACCGCCUUUUCAAUCAAAGAAUAAACAUAUCAAAGUUGAAUGAGUAAAAUAUUCCUUUAAAGUACCUGCUGAGGAUGUCCAUUUUACGUCUUCGUUAGUUUUUCCCAAUAGAAGAAAAAUUUUUUCCAGUACUUCAGUCCAAAACCACAGUGCCCAUUUUCUUUCACAAUAAUUUUCUAUCCUAGACAUACUGUCAAGUACUACAGAAGCUUCAGCGUUUUCCACACAGUUAGGUUCUGCCGUGCAGUAUCCAACAGCUCCACCAGGAUUUGGCUCAGUCCACAGUUGAGUUCAGUUCAGUCGCUCAGUCGUGUCUAACUCUUUGCAACCCCAUGGACUGCAGCAUGCCAGGCUUCCCUGUCCAUCACCAACUCCCGAACUUACUCAAGCUCAAUCCACACUCUCCCCUAAUAACCGAAGGGAGAGGUGGAAAUUAAACCCGCACCACCUUGGGAACACUUCCCAUUUGCUCAGGAUGACUCUUGUGUGAUUGUUGCGGAAAUAUUCACUGUUAUUUCUGUCGUUUUGUACGUAUUGCUUAGCCAUUAUAAACCUGUAGGGCUCAAGCAUUAUCUGCAAGAUAGGCAUAAAACUCUAGGAUUUGGUUUGGGGAAUUUUUCCAAAAACAAAGGAAAUUAUAGGCACCAAACCUGUAAUAGUCUUGAUAUUCCAGUUCUCUGCUUGUCUGUCCUUUCCCUCCUCCCCUCCUCCUAGCUUCGGCAUCGUCACCAUCAUCGUCUCUCUCACACAUACACUGCUGUAAGCAUUCUUAACAUGAAGAUGGUGUCUGGAAAUGUAAAGACUUGGGUUCUUUGGUUAAGCUGAAAUUUACUAGGGAAUAGUUGUAACAGAUUUAGACUAACAAAUUGUUUAAGUGGGAAAUAUAUAUAGUUUAAAAGUAACUUACCAUGACAGUCACCAUUAGAAGAAAAGCCUCUCUGGUAAAUUAAGAGAAAUGACAGGGGACCCCUCCCCCCCAACUAUACUUGAUGGAUAUAGUAUAAAACCACUGUUUUAAUCCAGC
RNAcentral lists this long non-coding RNA (1765 nucleotides) under Bos indicus x Bos taurus (hybrid cattle). RNAcentral describes it as "lncRNA (ENSBIXG00005001155.1)". Lineage: Eukaryota; Metazoa; Chordata; Mammalia; Artiodactyla; Bovidae. The record is from RNAcentral.